AGUCCUUGUUUUGGUACGUUUUCCCCCUUUUCUGGUUUACAAGACCAGGGUAAUGUGGGGACG
This 63-nucleotide transfer RNA is filed under the name Equus caballus (horse). RNAcentral describes it as "partial transfer RNA-Thr". Lineage: Eukaryota; Metazoa; Chordata; Mammalia; Perissodactyla; Equidae. The record is from RNAcentral.